AGUUGCAUGCAGUAGACCCGAAACCGGGUGAUCUAGCCAUGACCAGGUUGAAGUUGGGGUAAAACCCGAUGGAGGACCGAACCGACCCCCGUUGAAACGUUGGCGGAUGAGUUGUGGCUAGGGGUGAAAUUCCAAUCGAACCCGGAGAUAGCUGGUUCUCCCCGAAAUAGCUUUAGGGCUAGCGUCGAGGUAAGUUGCGUGAAGGUAGAGCACUGAAUAUGUGAUGGCCCCAUCUCGGGGUACUGAGCAUAAUCAAACUGCGAAUGUCACGCCAACAUGCUCGGCAGUCAGACAGCGGGUGAUAAGGUCCGUUGUCAAGAGGGAAACAGCCCAGACCAUCAGCUAAGGUCCCAAAAUGUAUGCUAAGUGGAAAAGGAUGUGGAGAUGUACAGACAACUAGGAGGUUGGCUCAGAAGCAGCCAUCCUUUAAAGAGUGCGUAACAGCUCACUAGUCGAAUGACUCUGCGCCGAUAAUUUACCGGGGCUAAGCAUACUACCGAAGCUAUGGAUCCCAAGGGAUGGUAGGGGAGCGUUCCAUGAACGGAGAAGUACGACCGAAAGGACGUGUGGAGAUCAUGGAAGAGAGAAUGCCGGUGUGAGUAGCGGAACGUGGGUGAGAAUCCCACGCACCGAAAACCCAAGGUUUCCAGAGGAAGGUUCGUCCGCUCUGGGUAAGUCGGGACCUAAGGCGAGGCCGAAAGGCGUAGUCGAUGGACAACAGGUAGAGAUUCCUGUACCCGUAUAUAUGUGAAGGAAUGACGGAGAGAGGAAGCUGCAGCCAGCGGCUGGAAGAGCUGGUGCAAGCGAGAUAUCGGGAUGGCAGGCAAAUCCACCAUCCGAAACGAGAAGGCGUGAAGCGUACGGAAAGCUACGGCGAGUACGGAAGGCAGUGGAGGAACUUCCAAGAAAAGUUUCUAACGUUAAGUAUAUAUGGCCCGUACCGAAAAUGGACACACAUGGGUGAGGAGAGAAUCCUAAGGUGAGCGAGAGAACUAUAGCUAAGGAACUCUGCAAAAUGACUCCGUAACUUAGGGAGAAGGAGUGCUCAUAGAGAUAUGAGCCGCAGUGAAACGGCCCAAGCGACUGUUUACCAAAAACACAGCUCUCUGCUAAGCCGCAAGGCGAAGUAUAGGGGGUGACGCCUGCCCGGUGCUGGAAGGUUAAGGGGAGGGGUUAACGCAAGUGAAGCCCUGAACUGAAGCCCCAGUAAACGGCGGCCGUAACUAUAACGGUCCUAAGGUAGCGAAAUUCCUUGUCAGGUAAGUUCUGACCCGCACGAAAGGCGUAAUGAUCUGGGUACUGUCUCAACCAUAGACUCGGUGAAAUCUUAAUACCUGUGAAAAUGCAGGUUACCCGCGACUGGACGAGAAGACCCCGUGGAGCUUUACUGUAGCUUGAUAUUGGAAUUCGGUAAACUAUGUAGAGCAUAGGUGGGAGACUAUGAGAUUAAGGCGCCAGCCUUAAAGGAGUCACCAUUGGAAUACCACCCUUAGUUUAUUGGAUUUCUAACCUAGGACCAUUAUCUGGUUCAGGGACAGUGUCUGGUGGGCAGUUUGACUGGGGCGGUCGCCUCCUAAAAUGUAACGGAGGCGUUCAAAGGUUCCCUCAGAAUGGUUGGAAAUCAUUCAAAGAGCAUAAAGGUAUAUAGGGAGCUUGACUGCAAGACCUACAAGUCAAGCAGGUGCGAAAGCAGGACUUAGUGAUCAGGCGAUUCAGAAUGGAAUGGUCGUCGCUUAACGGAUAAAAGUUACCCCGGGGAUAACAGGCUGAUACCACCCAAUAGUUCACAUAGACGGUGGUGUUUGGCACCUCGAUGUCGGCUCGUCACAUCCUGGAGGUGAAGUCGCUUCGUGAGACAGUUCGGUCUCUAUCCGUCGUGGGCGCAGGAAAAUUGAGGAGAGCUAUCCUUAGUACGAGAGGACCGGGAUGGACCUACCUCUGGUGUAUCUGUUGUCACGCCAGUGGCAGUGCAGAGUAGCUAUGUAGGGAAGGGAUAAACGCUGAAAGCAUCUAAGCGUGAAGCCCUCUCCAAGAUGAGUUUUCCCAUUGUUUAACAAGUAAAAUCCCAGAUAGACUAACUGGUUGAUAGGCUAGAAGUGGAAGUGUAGUGAUACAUUGAGCGGACUAGUACUAAUAGAUUGAGGAUUUAAUCCC
This 2154-nucleotide ribosomal RNA is filed under the name human gut metagenome. Its description in RNAcentral is "bacterial LSU rRNA". It matches the Rfam family "Bacterial large subunit ribosomal RNA", at positions 698 to 2925 of the family's 2925-position model. The record is from RNAcentral.